This 690-nucleotide long non-coding RNA is filed under the name Mus caroli (Ryukyu mouse). RNAcentral's name for it is "lncRNA (MGP_CAROLIEiJ_G0006131.1)". Lineage: Eukaryota; Metazoa; Chordata; Mammalia; Rodentia; Muridae. The record is from RNAcentral.
GCCCGUAGCUUCGUGUGUGCAGCGCGUGGCCGGACUUCAGCUCCCGCGAGGCUGGUUUCGAGGGAAAAGAUUAUUUUAUUUUUAAAAGCACAUGAAAGGAAUAUGGAAGAACUUUGGGAUACCUUGACAAAACUAAAACUUCAAAUUAUAGGUAUAGAUUAGGAAGAAGCAUCCUAAGCCAACACACACGUCUAUAAAGAUACAAGAAGCACACAGAAUACCAAAUAAACUCUUUACAGUAUAAUCAUGGUUAAACCACCAAAUAAUGCAGAACAAAGAAAAAUAUCGAAAGUUGAAAAAGCUACAAGUAACAUAAACUAAACAAAAUUAUCUGCUGUAGUUGAAGAAAAAAAACUUUCCAUGAUCCAAACAGUCUGAAGAAAUUCAUAUCCAAUAGACCAAGCCCACAAAGGAUACUGGAUGUAAUACUUCAGACUGAAGAAGCACAGCCAAGAUACUGCAGAAAGAGAGUGAGUGAAGCAUGAGGAGUAUGAGAGAAAACAACAACAUGACUGUAAACAAUACACACAACACAGGCUGGCUGAAAGAAUAAGAAACAAAAUCCAUCUUUCUAUUGUUUUUGAGGCCCCACAUUAGAGUAAAAGGAUGGAAAACAGUACUUCAAUCUAAUGGGACUAGGAAGCAAGAAGUACUGCUAUCCUAACAUCUGGCAAAAUAAACACACAAAAC